UACGAAGGGGGCUAGCGUUGCUCGGAAUCACUGGGCGUAAAGCGCACGUAGGCGGACUCUUAAGUCGGUGGUGAAAUCCUGGAGCUCAACUCCAGAACUGCCUUCGAUACUGGGAGUCUCGAGUUCGGGAGAGGUGAGUGGAACUGCGAGUGUAGAGGUGAAAUUCGUAGAUAUUCGCAAGAACACCAGUGGCGAAGGCGGCUUACUGGCCCGAUACUGACGCUGAGGUGGCG
This 233-nucleotide ribosomal RNA is filed under the name uncultured bacterium. RNAcentral describes it as "partial 16S ribosomal RNA". It matches the Rfam family "Bacterial small subunit ribosomal RNA", at positions 524 to 755 of the family's 1533-position model. The record is from RNAcentral.